UAUAUAUUAGUGUGUGAAGCACAAAAAUUUUUGAUAUUUUUAGGAAUAGUUUAAAUCUAUUGUGUAUAA
RNAcentral lists this transfer RNA (69 nucleotides) under Jellisonia amadoi. Its description in RNAcentral is "tRNA-Gln". The record is from RNAcentral. Lineage: Eukaryota; Metazoa; Arthropoda; Insecta; Siphonaptera; Ceratophyllidae.